GAUGAACGCUGGCGGCGUGCCUAAUACAUGCAAGUAGAACGCUGAAGGAAGGAGCUUGCUCUUUCCGGAUGAGUUGCGAACGGGUGAGUAACGCGUAGGUAACCUGCCUGGUAGCGGGGGAUAACUAUUGGAAACGAUAGCUAAUACCGCAUAACAGUAGAUGUUGCAUGAUAUCUACUUAAAAGGUGCAAUUGCACCACUACCAGAUGGACCUGCGUUGUAUUAGCUAGUUGGUGAGGUAACGGCUCACCAAGGCGACGAUACAUAGCCGACCUGAGAGGGUGAUCGGCCAAACUGGGACUGAGACACGGCCCAGACUCCUACGGGAGGCAGCAGUAGGGAAUCUUCGGCAAUAGACGGAAGUCUGACCGAGCAACGCCGCGUGAGUGAAGAAGGUUUUCGGAUCGUAAAGCUCUGUUGUAAGAGAAGAACGAGUGUGAGAGUGGAAAGUUCACACUGUGACGGUAUCUUACCAGAAAGGGACGGCUAACUACGUG
This 497-nucleotide ribosomal RNA is filed under the name uncultured bacterium. RNAcentral's name for it is "partial 16S ribosomal RNA". It matches the Rfam family "Bacterial small subunit ribosomal RNA", at positions 28 to 507 of the family's 1533-position model. The record is from RNAcentral.